GGUCCCCUAGUCUAAAGGUUAGGACAUAGCCCUUUCAAGGCUAAAAUGCUCGGUUCAAGUCCGGUGGGGAUCAC
Molecule: transfer RNA, 74 nt
Filed under: uncultured Clostridium sp.
Lineage: Bacteria; Bacillati; Bacillota; Clostridia; Eubacteriales; Clostridiaceae
Description: tRNA-Glu(ttc)
Rfam family: tRNA
About the family: Transfer RNA (tRNA) molecules are approximately 80 nucleotides in length. Their secondary structure includes four short double-helical elements and three loops (D, anti-codon, and T loops).
Source: RNAcentral